Molecule: small nuclear RNA, 161 nt
Organism: Cavia aperea (Brazilian guinea pig)
Lineage: Eukaryota; Metazoa; Chordata; Mammalia; Rodentia; Caviidae
Gene: U1
Rfam family: U1 spliceosomal RNA
About the family: U1 is a small nuclear RNA (snRNA) component of the spliceosome (involved in pre-mRNA splicing). Its 5' end forms complementary base pairs with the 5' splice junction, thus defining the 5' donor site of an intron.
Source: Ensembl
GCACCUACCUGUCAGGGGAGAUACCGUGAUCACAGAGGUGGUUUCCCCAGGACGAGCCUUGUCCACUGCACUCCAGCUGUGCUGACCUCUGAAACUUCUCCAAACCUGGGAAACUCGACUGCAUAAUUUGUGGUAGUGGCAGGGAAAAAAAGACGUCCUGA